GAUGAACGCUGGCGGCGUGCCUAAUACAUGCAAGUCGAGCGAACAGACGAGGAGCUUGCUCCUCUGACGUUAGCGGCGGACGGGUGAGUAACACGUGGAUAACCUACCUAUAAGACUGGGAUAACUUCGGGAAACCGGAGCUAAUACCGGAUAAUAUAUUGAACCGCAUGGUUCAAUAGUGAAAGACGGUUUUGCUGUCACUUAUAGAUGGAUCCGCGCCGCAUUAGCUAGUUGGUAAGGUAACGGCUUACCAAGGCAACGAUGCGUAGCCGGCCUGUGAGGGUGAUCAGCCACACGGGAACUGAGAAACGGUCCAGACACCGACGGGAGGCAGCAGUGGGGAAUCUUCCGCAAUGGGCGAAAGCCUGACGGAGCAACGCCGCGUGAGUGAUGAAGGUCUUCGGAUCGUAAAACUCUGUUAUUAGGGAAGAACAAAUGUGUAAGUAACUAUGCACGUCUUGACGGUACCUAAUCAGAAAGCCACGGCUAACUACGUGCCAGCAGCCGCGGUAA
This 513-nucleotide ribosomal RNA is filed under the name uncultured bacterium. RNAcentral describes it as "partial 16S ribosomal RNA". It matches the Rfam family "Bacterial small subunit ribosomal RNA", at positions 28 to 523 of the family's 1533-position model. The record is from RNAcentral.